GGGCGGGUGGUGGAAUUGGUAGACACGCUAGGUUCAGGGUCUAGUGCUUUUAUUAGCAUGUGGGUUCAAAUCCCACCUCGCCCACCA
RNAcentral lists this transfer RNA (87 nucleotides) under Actinomycetes bacterium. RNAcentral's name for it is "tRNA-Leu". It matches the Rfam family "tRNA". From Rfam's summary of the family: Transfer RNA (tRNA) molecules are approximately 80 nucleotides in length. Their secondary structure includes four short double-helical elements and three loops (D, anti-codon, and T loops). Lineage: Bacteria; Bacillati; Actinomycetota; Actinomycetes. The record is from RNAcentral. RNAcentral also lists the same sequence under 2 other names.